Cinara cedri is the source of this 281-nucleotide non-coding RNA. Lineage: Eukaryota; Metazoa; Arthropoda; Insecta; Hemiptera; Aphididae. The record is from the annotation of a GenBank genome assembly.
GGGGGGACUCUGGACGGAUGUGUUUCGUCGAACGAUAAACGCGAAAAGUGAGAAGACGGAAAAAAAAAAAAUAAUAAUAAUAAUAUACAAACACGACGCGAUAAAAAUCCAAAACAAAAUCGAUAUUUCGCGAACGUCCGUCGGGCGGCAAAACAAAAUUUUUAAUAUUAUCAAUAACCGAUCGAAGUAAAACGGAAAAACAAAAAAAAUUACGCGACGUUCGGUUAUUUUUGUAUAUUCUUUUUUCUAAUCCGCGUUGUCGGGGGGCGCGUGUGCUCGUG